RNAcentral lists this transfer RNA (71 nucleotides) under Loxodonta africana (African savanna elephant). It matches the Rfam family "tRNA". From Rfam's summary of the family: Transfer RNA (tRNA) molecules are approximately 80 nucleotides in length. Their secondary structure includes four short double-helical elements and three loops (D, anti-codon, and T loops). The record is from Rfam by way of RNAcentral. Lineage: Eukaryota; Metazoa; Chordata; Mammalia; Proboscidea; Elephantidae.
GCAGUGGUGGUUCAGUGGUAGAAUUCUUGCCUUCCAUGCAGGAGACCCAGGUUCAAUUCCCAGCCAAUGCA